RNAcentral lists this long non-coding RNA (1002 nucleotides) under Nicotiana benthamiana. Its description in RNAcentral is "long non-coding RNA (NBEN_LNC041002)". The record is from RNAcentral. Lineage: Eukaryota; Viridiplantae; Streptophyta; Magnoliopsida; Solanales; Solanaceae.
UGAUUCUUAUAUGAAUACAGAUCUGCCAAAGCUAAACAAAAAAGGCAAACAGAAUCUCCAAUUUAACAACCGAUCAAACUCAACAUGACUAUAUAACCAACCCAGUGCGCUGAAAACAAAGAUCGAGUUAAUUAUAUCAAGCAUCUUUCCAAUGUAGACUUAUCACAUUAAUUACACCAAAUACAUAUUCAAACAAUUCAUACUUUCUUCAAGUUUCAAGAGAUUUCGCUGGAAAAAUUCAAUACACACAAAAUGGGACACAAAAUGCAACAAAAUCAGCAAGUAGCUUCAAGAUUCAAUCAAAUUUCGAACAUAGAAACAAAGACGUAUUUCUUUAAUUGGUUCGAUGUGCAAGCAAUUACAAGUCAAAUUCGAAUAGCAAUAGCAACAGAGAAUUCCACCGUGAACCUCGAACAAGUGACUCGAAAUCGGCAAAUUCAACCUCCGACUCAUCUAAACUCCAUUUUCUAGUUCUUGUUCCUAUUUUUCUAUGCGAAAAUCCUUGAAAUUUUCCCCCAACUUUUUGUUCUUUAACUUCCGUUUCUUCUUAGCGGUGAGUGGUCGGCGGAAUUAGUGGUGGAGUUGAAGAGAUGAAAAGGGUCCUGGUUGAGGUCCGCUCCGGCAAGUUUGGGUGGAAACGGGCGGCGAGGUGAGAUGGGGUGAGGGAGCUGCUGUUGGUUUUACCAAUGGUGAAAGGGGUAGGUGUUUGGUUGAAGAAAGCAUAACGGACGGGGUCAUUUAGGGUUCUCGUUGUUGAAGAGGACGAUCGUCGGGGGAGGGUCUGUCCUUGAUUUAAAAACAUUGAUCUUCUAUAUGAAUUAGGUCUUGUAUUCUCUGAUAGCUUAGGUCCAAACGGCUGAUGUAUCUUUUUUGUGAAGGUUUUAGGCGUUAGAUCUAGGGUAGUAUAGGUCUAGGUCUAAUUUUCGGUUAUAUAGAGAUGAUUUUUAGGUUAGCGGGUAUAAGUUUGAUAUUAUUGAGCCUUAAAAUUGAGUUAAAGACAAA